Molecule: long non-coding RNA, 610 nt
Organism: Rattus rattus (black rat)
Lineage: Eukaryota; Metazoa; Chordata; Mammalia; Rodentia; Muridae
Exons: 2
Source: RefSeq, a predicted model, not a curated record
UAAUCAAUAGCCCAACCCAGCUGUGAUACCUAUGAACCCCAACAAUGACCAGUGCAAUAGAGGAGAAUUUUCAUAAUUCUCUCCCUGUGGCCCUGAAAGAUGAAUCCACUUGAUCAUAAGGAGAUACGAUCUAUCUAAGCUCGGGAGGAAAGUGUGCCCUGUUGCUGAGGGUGGAAUAUCGCAGCGUGCCCGCUCGGACCACGUGGAUUACCGCAUUGUUUAAGUCAGCUGUUUCCGUAUUGGCUCUUGGCACGCAUGCGUUGUUUGUUAUGGGCUAUGGAGUACUGAGGUCUUCCCUAGCCUUGCGGUGCUGCGACUCCCUAGGUCUCUCCAUAUUUGCUCCCCAUGAGUUUAUGUUUAUGUAAAUACCUCUUAGGGCUUCUGGAUUUAUAGGCCCUUUGAGUAGCAGCAGCAGAAGCGUGUCUCCUGUGACAGUUUGGACAUAAAACCUCUUUUGUGACCGGCGACCUGUUUCUCUUGAGCUCCUGUUUGCACGGAGCAUCCUUUCCGCCCUCUGGCUUUGUGCACAUACAUGUACUUACACGGAAAUUAGUUACUUUAAAGGAUGCAUAACUGGGUAUUUUAUUAAAGUAUCCACUUAACUAUUCUA